GACAGGACGGAAAGACCCCGUGGAGCUUUACUGCAGCCUGAUAUUGAAUGUUGGUACAGCUUGUACAGGAUAGGUAGGAGCCUUGGAAACCGGAGCGCCAGCUUCGGUGGAGGCAUCGGUGGGAUACUACCCUGGCUGUAUUGACCUUCUAACCCGCCGCCCUUAUCGGGCGGGGAGACAGUGUCAGGUGGGCAGUUGGACUGGGGCGGUCGCCUCCUAAAAGGUAACGGAGGCGCCCAAAGGUUCCCUCAGAAUGGUUGGAAAUCAUUCGCAGAGUGUAAAGGCACAAGGGAGCUUGACUGCGAGACCUACAAG
This 315-nucleotide ribosomal RNA is filed under the name Bacillus siamensis. Its description in RNAcentral is "bacterial LSU rRNA". It matches the Rfam family "Bacterial large subunit ribosomal RNA", at positions 2074 to 2388 of the family's 2925-position model. Lineage: Bacteria; Bacillati; Bacillota; Bacilli; Caryophanales; Bacillaceae. The record is from RNAcentral.